This is a long non-coding RNA of Vombatus ursinus (common wombat), 1823 nucleotides long. The record is from Ensembl. NCBI's taxonomy places the organism in Eukaryota, Metazoa, Chordata, Mammalia, Diprotodontia, Vombatidae.
CUCGGCCUGGUGGGGCGGGGUGCACCUCCCUCCGGGGCUCGGGCUCGCCUCCCCGUCCCCUGGCCGCCCCUCACCAGUCGCUAGAUAAAACAGCGCCGACGGUCUCCACGGGGUCUGCACUCGGUAGACUUGGCGCUCAUCCUCAAUGACAACAGCAGGAGAACCCGAGGAACGCCAGCAGAGCCGGUUCCCAGUGCCCUGUCCGGAGGCUCCGGCAGUGGCCAACUGAGAUGACCCUCAAACAGCAACUGGAGCCGACCAGGCGCUGGACCGGAGGAGAGAGGGACACUGUGUAAAGUGGGUGGGACCCACCCUGGAACAAGACGGGCGCCGAUUGGCUGCGGUUCACAGAUGCCUCCUGGGGAUUGGCUGAGCGGCGGCCAGGGGGCCGCGGCCGUUUCCUUUACUCCGCGCUUACUCCAAGUCCACCUCGUGCCCCUCCGCCACAGGACUUCCAGCUUCCUCUGAUUGACCCUGACCCUGACCCCAGUCCCGAAGGUGGGAAGGACUUAGGGGAACACAAAGCAAGUCGGGGCCGAAGCGACCCUAGAGGGACCGGCUCCCUCGGGGCCGCGAGCCCCGUGAGGUUAUGGCCCGGACCAAGCCGCCCAGCUCCUCUGACGCAGCCCCCGGGGUCGGCCACCUCCUCUCCCCACCAGCGGAGCCGCAGGAACCAAUCUGCUCUGGACCCUGCAUGUGGAUCAAUGGAUUCAGUCCUAUGGGAACCUGGCCUUUAAUGAGAGGUGCUCUACAAUUCCUCUUUCAAAUUCCAUGUCUUCUGGCAAGCUGGAACAAGAGAAUGGUCUUCUCCUUUUGUUGUUAAUUUUCUUCUUAUAGGCAGAAGCUUCCCUUGUCACCAGUCAGCUCCACACAUUGUACCCAGAACUCUUCACCUCUUCAACUCAUGAAGUCACUUCCAAGUGUGGACCUUCAGAAUGAUGAACAGAAUGACUUGCUCAUCCAAGGAAACACGAAGUGGAAAAGAUAGACAGGGACACAUGCUAAAGCUUAGUUGAAUCCACUUUUCACAUGAAAAUAGCCAAAGGUUGGGAGGGAAGAGCACUCCAUCAUUGCACCCCUCAUGGAGAAUUCAGUGAUAAGAGAGACACAUUUGCCACAUGGAAGAACCAAAGUAAGAACAAGAUAAAACGUGUAUCUUCUUUAUAAUUGAUGCAGCCCCCUACCUCUUCUUCCUGCCCCUACAAUAAGGCUAUAGGGAAGGCUACUCAGUGCUCUCCUCAGUGUUUGCCAGAUCAUACCGAAAGACCAAGUCCUUUAGGUGCUGAUUUACCACAUGGCUAGAAGUAGCCAACAAGCUCAUCCUCUUCCAUGCGCCCUAAUGCUGAGUCACAUACAGUUGGUCAAAAAAGGCAACUUGCACAUGUUCCAUGGGAUGGCCCUUUUUACAGAUAUCUUUUAUUUUUUGUCACAUUUAUGUAACAGUCAUUUCUGAAUAUACUCACUCUACCAUCACUACCACAACCAGCACCAUGACCCCACAAGAACUGAACUUUUCCCUGCUUUUCUUUUUAGUAUGAUCAAUUCUGUUGAUUGUCUUCCUACUGACGAGCCAUCUAUGCAUCCCUGGUACAAAUACAAUUUGGCUGUAUUGAAUGUUGUCUUAGAUGAAUUGCUAUUAUCUUUUUGACAGGAUUUUAUUUAGAAUUUUUCAACCAAUUUGUCAUGAAUAUCAGUUCCCCUUCUGUGCUUGAUCCUUCCCUGGGUUAGGUAGUAGGACUAUAUUGUUCUCAUAAGAGGCAUUUUACAGGAUGCUUUCUUUUUCAAUUUUUGAGAAUAAUUUUUGUGGUAUUUGUAAUGCCAUU